GGCGUUGAAACAACAGGCUGUUUCAAGUCGCAGUUUGUUGCGGAGCUGGAUCGAGGGUUUGACAUUUCCUCAACUUGAAUAGGCAGUAAUGCCGAACGAAAA
RNAcentral lists this small RNA (102 nucleotides) under human gut metagenome. Its description in RNAcentral is "drum RNA". It matches the Rfam family "drum RNA". Rfam says of the family: Firmicutes, Bacteroidetes (1 example), Proteobacteria (2 examples), Spirochaetes (2 examples). The record is from RNAcentral.